CACUCCUACGGGAGGCAGCAGUGGGGAAUUUUGGACAAUGGGCGAAAGCCUGAUCCAGCAAUGCCGCGUGAGUGAAGAAGGCCUUCGGGUUGUAAAGCUCUUUUGUCAGGGAAGAAACGGUGAAAGCUAAUAUCUUUUGCUAAUGACGGUACCUGAAGAAUAAGCACCGGCUAACUACGUGCCAGCAGCCGCGGUAAUACGUAGGGUGCAAGCGUUAAUCGGAAUUACUGGGCGUAAAGCGUGCGCAGGCGGUUUUGUAAGUCUGAUGUGAAAUCCCCGGGCUCAACCUGGGAAUUGCAUUGGAGACUGCAAGGCUAGAAUCUGGCAGAGGGGGGUAGAAUUCCACGUGUAGCAGUGAAAUGCGUAGAUAUGUGGAGGAACACCGAUGGCGAAGGCAGCCCCCUGGGUCAAGAUUGACGCUCAUGCACGAAAGCGUGGGGAGCAAACAGGAUUAGAAACCCCGGUAGUCCCA
RNAcentral lists this ribosomal RNA (472 nucleotides) under uncultured organism. RNAcentral describes it as "partial 16S ribosomal RNA". It matches the Rfam family "Bacterial small subunit ribosomal RNA", at positions 334 to 797 of the family's 1533-position model. The record is from RNAcentral.